CCUACGGGUGGCAGCAGUGGGGGAUAUUGCACAAUGAGGGAAACCCUGAUGUAGCGACGCCGCGUGUACGAAGACGGUCCUCUGGAUUGUAAACUACUGUCUCCGGGGACGAAAAUGACGGUACCUGGGGAGGAAGCUCCGGCUAACUACGUGCCAGCAGCCGCGGUAAUACGUAGGGAGCGAGCGUUGUCCGGAAUUACUGGGUGAAAAGGGAGCGUAGGCGGGGAUGCAAGUUGGGUGUUAAAUCUACCGGCUCAACUGGGAGUCGCACUCGAUACUGCAGCUCUUGAGUGAAGUAGAGGCAGGCGGAAUUCCUAGUGUAGCGGUGAAAUGCGUAGAUAUUAGGAGGAACACCAGUGGCGAAGGCGGCCUGCUGGGCUUUUACUGACGCUGAGGGUCGAAAGUGUGGGGAGCAAACAGGAUUAGAUACCCCUAUAGUC
RNAcentral lists this ribosomal RNA (440 nucleotides) under uncultured bacterium. RNAcentral describes it as "partial 16S ribosomal RNA". It matches the Rfam family "Bacterial small subunit ribosomal RNA", at positions 338 to 795 of the family's 1533-position model. The record is from RNAcentral.